RNAcentral lists this ribosomal RNA (446 nucleotides) under uncultured bacterium. RNAcentral's name for it is "partial 16S ribosomal RNA". It matches the Rfam family "Bacterial small subunit ribosomal RNA", at positions 338 to 795 of the family's 1533-position model. The record is from RNAcentral.
CCUACGGGUGGCAGCAGUCGAGAAUCAUUCACAAUGGGGGAAACCCUGAUGGUGCGACGCCGCGUGGGGGAAUGAAGGUCUUCGGAUUGUAAACCCCUGUCAUGUGGGAGCAAAUUAAAAAGAUAGUACCACAAGAGGAAGAGACGGCUAACUCUGUGCCAGCAGCCGCGGUAAUACAGAGGUCUCAAGCGUUGUUCGUAAUCACUGGGCGUAAAGCGUGCGUAGGCGGUUUCGUAAGUCGUGUGUGAAAGGCGCGGGCUCAACCCGCGCACUGCACAUGAUACUGCGAGACUAGAGUGAUGGAGGGGGAACCGGAAUUCUCGGUGUAGCAGCGAAAUGCGUAGAUAUCGAGAGGAACACUCGUGGCGAAGGCGGGUUCCUGGACAUUAACUGACGCUGAGGCACGAAGGCCAGGGGAGCGAAAGGGAUUAGAUACCCGUGUAGUG